Molecule: ribosomal RNA, 821 nt
Filed under: uncultured Sphingobacteriia bacterium
Lineage: Bacteria; Pseudomonadati; Bacteroidota; Sphingobacteriia
Description: bacterial SSU rRNA
Rfam family: Bacterial small subunit ribosomal RNA
Source: RNAcentral
GGGUAGCGCACUGUAGCACUACACUGGGCGACCACCGGCAAACUGGGUGCCUAACACCUACGCCAUCUACCCACUACAGGGGAAUAGCCCAGGGAAACUUGGAUUAAUACCCCAUAUUAUAUAGAGGUGGCAUCACUUUUAUAUCAAAGCUUCCGCGGUAGUGGAUGAGCGUGCGGUUGAUUAGAUAGUUGGCGGGGUAACGGCCCACCAAGUCUACCAUCAAUAGCUGAUGUGAGAGCAUGAUCAGCCACCCGGGCACUGAGACACGGGCCCGACUCCUACGGGAGGCAGCAGUAAGGAAUAUUGGGCAAUGGACGCAAGUCUGACCCAGCCAUGCCGCGUGAAGGAUGAAGGUCCUCUGGAUUGUAAACUUCUUUUAUCUGGGGCGAAAACAACUCUUUCUAGGGUUCUUGACAGUACCAGAGGAAUAAGCACCGGCUAACUCCGUGCCAGCAGCCGCGGUAAUACGGAGGGUGCAAGCGUUAUCCGGAUUCACUGGGUUUAAAGGGUGCGUAGGCGGGUUAGUAAGUCAGUGGUGAAAUCCCCGAGCUUAACUUGGGAACUGCCGUUGAUACUAUUAGUCUUGAAUAUCGUGGAGGUAAGCGGAAUAUGUCAUGUAGCGGUGAAAUGCUUAGAUAUGACAUAGAACACCAAUUGCGAAGGCAGCUUGCUACACGAUUAUUGACGCUGAGGCACGAAAGCGUGGGGAUCAAACAGGAUUAGAUACCCUGGUAGUCCACGCCCUAAACGAUGAUUACUCGACAUCAGCGAUACACUGUUGGUGUCUAAGCUAAAGCAUUAAGUAAUCCACCUGGGAAGUA